GACGAAGGUCCCAAGCAUUACCCGGAUUUACUGGGUGUAAAGGGUGAGCAGGCGGAAGUAAAAGUUCUAUCUUAAAUCUUUACUGCUUAACAGUAAAGGUGGAUAGAAUACUUUACUUCUAGAGAAUGGCAGGGGACAGCGGAACGCACGGUGUAGGGGUGAAAUCCGUUGAUAUCGUGCGGAACGCCGAAGGCGAAGGCAGCUGUCUAGGCCAUUUCUGACGCUGAUCUCACGAAAGCUAGGGGCGCAAACCGG
This 255-nucleotide ribosomal RNA is filed under the name uncultured bacterium. Its description in RNAcentral is "partial 16S ribosomal RNA". It matches the Rfam family "Bacterial small subunit ribosomal RNA", at positions 524 to 776 of the family's 1533-position model. The record is from RNAcentral.